Long non-coding RNA from Homalodisca vitripennis (glassy-winged sharpshooter), 442 nucleotides. RefSeq lists it as uncharacterized. The record is from RefSeq and is a predicted model, not a curated record. The transcript is spliced from 3 exons. Lineage: Eukaryota; Metazoa; Arthropoda; Insecta; Hemiptera; Cicadellidae.
UGUAAACAGUAACUAGCUGAGUAAUGAACUGGUGCAGAAAACUGUUAGUGCUUUUAUUAAUUACCUGUUUUGACUGUGUUGCAGUUAUUCUCGUAGAACCAGCCUGUCUCGUCUUGACUUGUAAUUCCAUGACGUCACACCACACACUGAUCACUUGUGAGCCGACUUGCCCUGCAGGAUACUACGCUGAGCCUCUGGUAGCGACUCCUAUCGUCUCGUGAUGUCUAGAUCACGUCUUGCCUCUAUGGAAGUGCAUAAAUUGUCAACAAAUAGUGACUGCGGCUGGAGGGCAAGUAGUUUUACACCAAGACAUAUGCAAGUGCAGGGGAAUAUGAAUAAUCUCAUCUCUGCCCUAUUGGUUACAUAAAGCACCGCUGCAAUACAAGAUGGGUCGUUGUAAUUGUAUACUUAAAGUGAUACUAAAUUAUACCAAUUUUCAGUG